Ictidomys tridecemlineatus (thirteen-lined ground squirrel) is the source of this 834-nucleotide non-coding RNA. Lineage: Eukaryota; Metazoa; Chordata; Mammalia; Rodentia; Sciuridae. The record is from RefSeq and is a predicted model, not a curated record.
UCACAUUAGAGUCCCAAAGCACAGGGAACAGUUCUCGUCUAUCCGUCACCAAGGAGGCAGACGGGACAGGGGGAACAACAAGUCAUUUGUCCCUGAUGAGGAGGACACUCCUGGGAAACAAACAGAUGAGCCACCCCAUGAAUCUGAGCCAUUCUCCGAGGUAAACAGAACUGCAUGAGAAACCACCAGCUAUCUCCAGCAUCGCCCUUACCGCUCACACCGCCCUCUGGCAGCCGGUGGGGGACGUGAAACUGUAGCUUGGACCAAUAUCUGAUUCUGAGAAAGUUAACCCUAGCAAAGGUGAUAUUCUCCUCCCUCCGUCUCCUGCAGUUGAACAACCAUCUAUUUCUAUGACCUUUUGUUUCCAUUUUUACAGAACAGGAUUCCAUGAAGGUCUGAACUCCCCUGCCACAGAACCUGCUUGCUCACUUCCCUUGUGAGGUGGAUGCAAUGUGAAGAGGAGAAAGACUCCAGCUAAUGACUGAACCAUCACCCAGGUACAUAUAAUAAUUGGAGUCAUUGGAUCUUCUCUGAAAUACUGUUAAUCUGACCAAUAGGACCAUCUUCCAGUUUACAGGAAACAGAGGAAUAGAAGAAAAAGUUAAAUCACCACUAUGAAUCAAGGUGGCAUUAUACAGAACCACUGACCUGCUUCUUCUCUACGGUUCACAUUUCAAGUAAACAGACAUAAGACAUUCAAAGCACCUCACCAGGAACUCUCUGAAAUAUACUCUGAAUGACAAGGGGAUGACAGCAAAGGCCCAUCUUCUCCUAACCUUCCUUCCAGGGUCUUUGAGCUGCAAAUAGAGAAGCCUAACCCACUCUCAUGAGCAC